UUCCCUUGCCCCACUGGCUACUACUGCCCCGAGAACGUCACCAACUACAGCAGGCACCCCUGUCCCGCUGGCUUCUACUGCCCCGAGGCACGAAGUACGCCACCCAGUUCCCCUGCCCUCGGAGCUACUACGACCCAGACCCACUGACCCAGAGCCUGGACAGCUGCCUGCCCUGUCCCCCAGGCCACUGCUGCGGGUAGGAGAACCUGACCCGGGCCUCUGGGCCUUGUGCGGCAGGAUGGUUCUGUGUGUCUGUGGCAUGGACCGCCCGCCCCUUCAACCUGGACAACUACACCAGCACCAAUUGCCUGUGCCCAGCCAC
Molecule: long non-coding RNA, 322 nt
Organism: Homo sapiens (human)
Lineage: Eukaryota; Metazoa; Chordata; Mammalia; Primates; Hominidae
Exons: 3
Source: RefSeq, a predicted model, not a curated record